Molecule: ribosomal RNA, 805 nt
Filed under: Bacillus licheniformis
Lineage: Bacteria; Bacillati; Bacillota; Bacilli; Caryophanales; Bacillaceae
Description: bacterial SSU rRNA
Rfam family: Bacterial small subunit ribosomal RNA
Source: RNAcentral
AGUUUGAUCCUGGCUCAGGACGAACGCUGGCGGCGUGCCUAAUACAUGCAAGUCGAGCGGACCGACGGGAGCUUGCUCCCUUAGGUCAGCGGCGGACGGGUGAGUAACACGUGGGUAACCUGCCUGUAAGACUGGGAUAACUCCGGGAAACCGGGGCUAAUACCGGAUGCUUGAUUGAACCGCAUGGUUCAAUCAUAAAAGGUGGCUUUYAGCUACCACUURCAGAUGGACCCGCGGCGCAUUAGCUAGUUGGUGAGGUAACGGCUCACCAAGGCGACGAUGCGUAGCCGACCUGAGAGGGUGAUCGGCCACACUGGGACUGAGACACGGCCCAGACUCCUACGGGAGGCAGCAGUAGGGAAUCUUCCGCAAUGGACGAAAGUCUGACGGAGCAACGCCGCGUGAGUGAUGAAGGUUUUCGGAUCGUAAAACUCUGUUGUUAGGGAAGAACAAGUACCGUUCGAAUAGGGCGGYACCUUGACGGUACCUAACCAGAAAGCCACGGCUAACUACGUGCCAGCAGCCGCGGUAAUACGUAGGUGGCAAGCGUUGUCCGGAAUUAUUGGGCGUAAAGCGCGCGCAGGCGGUUUCUUAAGUCUGAUGUGAAAGCCCCCGGCUCAACCGGGGAGGGUCAUUGGAAACUGGGGAACUUGAGUGCAGAAGAGGAGAGUGGAAUUCCACGUGUAGCGGUGAAAUGCGUAGAGAUGUGGAGGAACACCAGUGGCGAAGGCGACUCUCUGGUCUGUAACUGACGCUGAGGCGCGAAAGCGUGGGGAGCGAACAGGAUUAGAUACCCUGGUAGUCC